This 438-nucleotide ribosomal RNA is filed under the name uncultured bacterium. RNAcentral's name for it is "bacterial SSU rRNA". It matches the Rfam family "Bacterial small subunit ribosomal RNA", at positions 29 to 510 of the family's 1533-position model. The record is from RNAcentral.
AACGAACGCUGGCGGCAUGCCUAACACAUGCAAGUCGAACGAGACCUUCGGGUCUAGUGGCGCACGGGUGCGUAACGCGUGGGAACCUGCCUUUAGGUUCGGAAUAACUCAGAGAAAUUUGAGCUAAUACCGGAUAAUGUCUUCGGACCAAAGAUUUAUCGCCUUUAGAUGGGCCCGCGUAAGAUUAGCUAGUUGGUGGGGUAAAGGCCUACCAAGGCGACGAUCUUUAGCUGGUCUGAGAGGAUGAUCAGCCACACUGGGACUGAGACACGGCCCAGACUCCUACGGGAGGCAGCAGUGGGGAAUAUUGGACAAUGGGCGAAAGCCUGAUCCAGCAAUGCCGCGUGAGUGAUGAAGGCCUUAGGGUUGUAAAGCUCUUUUACCCGACGAUGAUAAUGACAGUAUCGGGAGAAUAAGACUCCGGCUAACUCCGUGCCA